UACGAAGGAUUCGAGCGUUAUCCGGAUUUAUUGGGUUUAAAGGGUGCGUAGGCGGCCUGAUAAGUCAGUGGUGAAAGCCUGUUGCUUAACAACAGAACUGCCAUUGAUACUGCCAGUCUUGAGUACAGUUGAGGUAGGCGGAAUGUGUCAUGUAGUGGUGAAAUACUUAGAUAUGACACAGAACACCGAUUGCGAAGGCAGCUUGCUAAACUGUAACUGACGCUGAGGCACGAAAGCAUGGGGAGCAAACGGG
This 253-nucleotide ribosomal RNA is filed under the name uncultured bacterium. RNAcentral describes it as "partial 16S ribosomal RNA". It matches the Rfam family "Bacterial small subunit ribosomal RNA", at positions 524 to 776 of the family's 1533-position model. The record is from RNAcentral.